RNAcentral lists this transfer RNA (72 nucleotides) under uncultured marine phage. RNAcentral describes it as "tRNA-Cys". It matches the Rfam family "tRNA". From Rfam's summary of the family: Transfer RNA (tRNA) molecules are approximately 80 nucleotides in length. Their secondary structure includes four short double-helical elements and three loops (D, anti-codon, and T loops). Further hydrogen bonds mediate the characteristic L-shaped molecular structure. tRNAs have two regions of fundamental functional importance: the anti-codon, which is responsible for specific mRNA codon recognition, and the 3' end, to which the tRNAs corresponding amino acid is attached (by aminoacyl-tRNA synthetases). tRNAs cope with the degeneracy of the genetic code in two manners: having more than one tRNA (with a specific anti-codon) for a particular amino acid; and 'wobble' base-pairing, i.e. permitting non-standard base-pairing at the 3rd anti-codon position. The record is from RNAcentral.
GGUUGGGUGGUCGAGUAUUUAGACACAGGACUGCAAAUCCUGUUACGGUGGUGAAAAUCCAUCCCCAACCUC